Molecule: non-coding RNA, 28 nt
Filed under: Bombyx mori (domestic silkworm)
Lineage: Eukaryota; Metazoa; Arthropoda; Insecta; Lepidoptera; Bombycidae
Source: RNAcentral
UAAGUCGUAGAGUACCCAUCGAAUCAGU